CCCGCGCGCCCGAUCCUCCCCCGUGCGCCCCGCGCGCUCCAUCCUCCCCGCGCUCCCGAUCCUCUCCUUGCGCCCGGUGCCCGGCCAUCCCCGUGCGCCCGGCCCCCCCCGCACGCCCGAUCCUCCCCGCGCGCCCGGUGCCUGGCCCUCUCCGCGCGCUGCGUCCUCCCUGCGCGCCGUGCACCCGGCCCCUCGCGCCCCGCGCGGCGCCCUGGGGAGCGGAGCGGGCCUCGCCGCUUCCCCGCUGCAGCCGAAGGCAGCUCUCGACGAGCCCCUCCAGGCCGAUGUCUUUCCAUCGUCAGCCCUCGCGUGGUGCGUGGCGCUCCGCUCUGCCCCCUUCGCCGUCUUCCCCUCCUGCAGGCCAGCUCCCCUCCGAGCUGGGGGUCGGCAGCUUUUUGAGAACUUUAUAGUUAAACGCCCCCACUUGCAAGCGAACCCUAGUACACGGAACUGCAACAGGAAUACUUUGAAUCCUUCGGCUUCACUGCUUCCAGUAACUGGACACGCAUAACUAGGAGGCUGUGAGGGGUCAACCACGCCUUGAUUCCAGUCUCAGCCCAGUGAAGGUUAACUCUGUGACCUGGCGUCAAGUUAUUUCCACUUCUUUCAGAUUGAAAGAUGGAAAUAAUUACCUUUUCCUGAAGACGAGUAAAUAAAAUAUUACUUUUUCAUGUUCUUUUUUUGAGGAAAGUUAGCCCAGAACUAACAUCUGCUGCCAAUCCUCCUCUUUUUGCUGAGGAAGAUUGGCCUUGAGCUAACAUCUGUGCCCAUCUUCCUCUAUUUUAUAUGUGGGACGCCGGUCACAGCGUGGCUUCACCAGCAGUGCAUAGGUCAGUGCCCAGAAUCCAAACCUGUGAACCCCAAGCCGCCAAAGUGGCACACGAGAAUUUAACCACUACUCCAUCCAGCCAGCCCCUCAUGUUCUAAAUUAAGCAAAAUUCAUACUUCAUCAGUUGUACAUCCUGUAACUUCUAUCUAAGUAGUUAGGUAUGUUUUACCAUUUUACAGCUGGUGGUUUGUAGAAAUAUCACAAUGUAAAUUAGAGACGACUGGAAAAAAAAACACAAAACUUAAUCAUGUCAUGUCGAUGAUUAAUUUGUUUUCAUUUCCUGUAUAAAACUUUUGAAAUGCAUUUCUGUAGUUACUGCAUAACCAAACCUUUAUUACUGAUGCCCGGCUCGUGAUAUCAUAGGCAAUUAUACUGUUUUGACAUCUAAAUACAUACAGAGAUUGUAUUGUCAGAACAAUCAUAUCAUCUGAAUCUUUGCGGUUGAUUGUUUAGCCCCUGAAGGUUAGAAUCUACUUUUAUCACUUUCAGAAUCUAAUAUUUUAAUUCCUUUUAUGGAUAUUCUGUGUAUUUCCCUGCUUCUUGAUUCUUUCGAGUGAUGUGUGAACUAUACAAAAAGCAAAACCAAUACCCCCAUCUGUUUCUUAACGUGUCUUGAGAUAAUCAGCUGCUGUAUUAAGAGAUUUUCACACCUGUGAUGAGGCAGCAGCUCACGAACCAAUUCUGGGCCCAGUACGGCUUCAGGAUGGGGUUUCAUCAGUAUUUUGCCCCUGGGGUUCUACCUGGGAUGAUCCAGUGUGAUGUGAUGCAAAGGAAAAGAUGGUGAGGCUCAGGUGGGGAGUGGAGUUGCCAACGGUAACAAGCCGCGUGGAAGUUUUCCAGGUAUCACAUCCAAAGACAGCAAAGAGAGAGUGAUGCUCAUGUACUAACAGGCUUGCUGUUCUUCACCAGUAAAGACAGUGAUAAAGGGUCCUAAAGCGAACCAUGAAAACCUUACAAAACAUACAGCCUAGAUUAACUGUAAGAAAGGGUUCCUAACCUUGCAGAGUCGGCUUUCAAAUAGCCUUCUCGAAUGAAAUUGUGAAGUGGAAUUGAGCUCAUCUCUCUGGCCUGGUUUAAAUGUAACGCGUCCAAACGCAGGAAGAUGGUCUAAAAUCACAAGCUUGCCUGUUAGCUUACAUAAAUCACACUAAAUCUGCAUAAGAGCUAGUCAGCAGUCCAGCUCCAGAAACACGGAAGGCGGUCACGUCCGUCCUUGAAUCGCACUCUCGCCCUCGGCACACAGUUUUGUUCUCAUUUACCGUCACGGAUUAACCAUAAAUUUGUAGUUGUAGUUUAAAGGUUAAUAAGUGUUACAGCAUGUCGCCCUGUUUGUUUUUCAGUCCGAAUCUUGUAAUUAAUACGUAGGCUUGCAUUCCUUUGGUUCCUAAAUGUUUCUUGACCUUUGAUAUGUCUGUCAAAGUAUACACGCUUUUAGAAACGAGUGACGCAUGAAGCCUACUUAAUGCGCACCUUGUGGGGGUGGGUAGACAGUCUGAAGAGAACAAAGGAUAAGAUGCUGUAAGAGGAACUAACAACAGGAGACCCACUUUAGCUUGGGUAGUCCAGGAAUGCUUCUCGGAGGAAGUGACGCUUACAGUGAGAUCUGAAGGAUAUAAAGGAGCCAGCAAGGUGAAGCACCUGCACUGAGGUCCGAAGGCAGCUACGGGUGUUGCCCUCCCUUCUGCAUGGAAGAAAAGUCUGCAGAGCUCAGAGGCCUGUGAUUACAAAGAUUACAAAGUCCCUCGGUGGCUUCCUGUUUAUUACCUUGGAAGCGUCAAGUUACUAUUGAUGUAAUAAACAAAGUUUCCAUCCAUAAAAAGGAAGAUUGGAAUAAUUUCCCACCAAGGAAGCCUCAGAAUUAUGCAAUGCUUUGGGAAGGAUAUGUAAUUACUCUUUUCUCCCCUUUUUCUUGCUUUCCUUCCUCCCCCUCCUCCUCCACAAAUCUCUCCUUCCCUUCUUCCUUGGAUCUUUCCUCUCUUCCUUCCUUCCUUUCUUUCUUUCCUUCCUUCCUUCCUUCCUUCCCCAGACUUAUUUGUUGAAUGUCUCCCAUGCAUUAAGACUCCACUGUAGGGGCUGGCCCUGGGGCUGAGUGGGUUAAGUUCGCAAGUUCUGCUGCAGGCAGCCCAGUGUUUCAUUGGUUCGAAUCCUGGGUGCGGACAUGGC
This is a non-coding RNA of Equus caballus (horse), 2992 nucleotides long. The record is from RefSeq and is a predicted model, not a curated record. Lineage: Eukaryota; Metazoa; Chordata; Mammalia; Perissodactyla; Equidae.